This 73-nucleotide transfer RNA is filed under the name Cricetulus griseus (Chinese hamster). It matches the Rfam family "tRNA". Rfam says of the family: Transfer RNA (tRNA) molecules are approximately 80 nucleotides in length. Their secondary structure includes four short double-helical elements and three loops (D, anti-codon, and T loops). Lineage: Eukaryota; Metazoa; Chordata; Mammalia; Rodentia; Cricetidae. The record is from Rfam by way of RNAcentral.
GGAGAGAUGACUCAGUGGGUAAGAGUAUUUGUUGGUUUAGCAGAGGAUCUGGGUUCAAUCCCCAGUACCUACA